RNAcentral lists this long non-coding RNA (922 nucleotides) under Ananas comosus (pineapple). RNAcentral describes it as "long non-coding RNA (ACOM_LNC044151)". The record is from RNAcentral. Lineage: Eukaryota; Viridiplantae; Streptophyta; Magnoliopsida; Poales; Bromeliaceae.
UUGGUCUGUUGUUGCAUUCUGUAUCUGUUGACCUAGUUGGUCUGUUGUUGCAUUCUGUAUCUGUUGACCUAGUUGGUCUGUUGUUGCAUUCAGUAUCUGUUGACCUAGUUGGUUGGUUGUGCAUUCCGUAUCUGUUGACCUGGUUGGUCAGUUCUCGUACUUCGUAUCAGUGACCUUGCUGGUCGGUUGGACUCUGUGGACCUUGGGUCCAGGUAACACAUUGACUCUCUCGUCAUGUGUUUCGAUCUGGUUGAUCGAGGUUCGGCGUUGUACGUCCUUGUUUCUGGCUUCGGCCUAGGCACCGGUUUCAGCCGGAUUUUGUAUUGAGCAUACCAUCAUGACUUAGUCACAGCACUUGGGGGUAUUCACGACACCGGAUCGGUUUGGCCACCGAUCGGAGGUGUACUUAUCCGGAUGGGUCGUCCUGUGGGGCGGGUGAAUCAGGUCGGUGCAGGUUAGUGACAGGCAGCGCUUGAGGUCUGCGGACCAAUAUAGCAGGUACCAGAUUGGGUAUAUUUGGACUUCUUGUCCGGUUGAUGCAUAUAACUAUAGUAGCGGUUGUUGCUUGUAUACCUUCAGUUCUUUCAUUACAUUGUCUUGCUACUAUAGUCUUGUUACAUUUAUAUAUUCAGUUGUCCAUUACAGUAGCGGUAGUUGUACUUCUUUCAUAUAUAUGUCUCAUUCAUUCAUUAUUAUUACUACUGUAUUUCUACUGACCCGUACUGUUGUUUAGCUCUUCCUGAUCCGGUGAGUACUCCUCGCCUUCAUCGGCUUGCGGUACCCACUGGGAGGGGAGACAUGUUUACAUGUUCUCACCUCCCCCACCAUUUUUCAGGUAUUGCGGGCGGUGAGAGUCGAGACGAUAUGUGAGACACGUUCGUAGCGGUCGAUAGAGCUUCCGACCCAGGUUAUUCGGUUUAGU